UCGGGAAUAUUGCACAAUGGAGGAAACUCUGAUGCAGUGACGCCGCGUGCAGGAAGAAGGUUUUCGGAUUGUAAACUGCUUUAGACAGGGAAGAAACAAGACAGUACCUGUAGAAUAAGCUCCGGCUAACUACGUGCCAGCAGCCGCGGUAAUACGUAGGGAGCAAGCGUUAUCCGGAUUUAUUGGGUGUAAAGGGUGCGUAGACGGGAGUCUAAGUUAGUUGUGAAAUCCCUCGGCUUAACCGAGGAACUGCAACUAAAACUGCAAAUCUUGAGUGAGGUAGAGGCAGGCGGAAUUCCUAGUGUAGCGGUGAAAUGCGUAGAUAUUACACAGAACACCUAUUGCGAAGGCAGCUGACAAAACCAUUAUUGACGCUGAGGCACGAAAGUGUGGGGAUCAAACA
This 403-nucleotide ribosomal RNA is filed under the name uncultured bacterium. Its description in RNAcentral is "bacterial SSU rRNA". It matches the Rfam family "Bacterial small subunit ribosomal RNA", at positions 355 to 774 of the family's 1533-position model. The record is from RNAcentral.